RNAcentral lists this ribosomal RNA (492 nucleotides) under uncultured bacterium. Its description in RNAcentral is "partial 16S ribosomal RNA". It matches the Rfam family "Bacterial small subunit ribosomal RNA", at positions 29 to 507 of the family's 1533-position model. The record is from RNAcentral.
AGUGAACGCUGGCGGUAGGCCUAACACAUGCAAGUCGAACGGUAGCACAGUAAGAGCUUGCUCUUACGGGUGGCGAGUGGCGGACGGCUGAGGAAUACAUCGGAAUCUACUUUUUCGUGGGGGAUAACGUAGGGAAACUUACGCUAAUACCGCAUACGACCUACGGGUGAAAGCAGGGGAUCUUCGGACCUUGCGCGAUUGAAUGAGCCGAUGUCGGAUUAGCUAGUUGGCGGGGUAAAGGCCCACCAAGGCGACGAUCCGUAGCUGGUCUGAGAGGAUGAUCAGCCACACUGGAACUGAGACACGGUCCAGACUCCUACGGGAGGCAGCAGUGGGGAAUAUUGGACAAUGGGCGCAAGCCUGAUCCAGCCAUACCGCGUGGGUGAAGAAGGCCUUCGGGUUGUAAAGCCCUUUUGUUGGGAAAGAAAAGCAGCAGGUUAAUACCCCGCUGUUCUGACGGUACCCAAAGAAUAAGCACCGGCUAACUUCGUG